GUGUCAGCCGCCGUGGUAAUACGGAGGAUGCAAGCGUUAUCCGGAAUCAUUGGGUUUAAAGGGUCCGUAGGCGGCCAAAUAAGUCAGUGGUGAAGGCCCAUCGCUCAACGAUGGAACGGCCAUUGAUACUGUUUGGCUUGAAUUAUUAGGAAGUAACUAGAAUAUGUAGUGUAGCGGUGAAAUGCUUAGAGAUUACAUGGAAUACCAAUUGCGAAGGCAGGUUACUACUAAUAUAUUGACGCUGAUGGACGAAAGCGUGGGGAGCGAACAGGAUUAGAAACCCGUGUAGUCC
RNAcentral lists this ribosomal RNA (292 nucleotides) under uncultured Flavobacterium sp. RNAcentral describes it as "partial 16S ribosomal RNA". It matches the Rfam family "Bacterial small subunit ribosomal RNA", at positions 505 to 796 of the family's 1533-position model. Lineage: Bacteria; Pseudomonadati; Bacteroidota; Flavobacteriia; Flavobacteriales; Flavobacteriaceae. The record is from RNAcentral.